RNAcentral lists this ribosomal RNA (406 nucleotides) under uncultured bacterium. RNAcentral's name for it is "partial 16S ribosomal RNA". It matches the Rfam family "Bacterial small subunit ribosomal RNA", at positions 30 to 526 of the family's 1533-position model. The record is from RNAcentral.
AUUGAACGCUGGCGGCAGGCCUAACACAUGCAAGUCGAACGAGUGGCGGACGGGUGAGUAAUGUCUGGGAAACUGCCCGAUGGAGGGGGAUAACUACUGGAAACGGUAGCUAAUCCCGCAUACCAUCGGAUGUGCCCAGAUGUGAUUAGCUAGUAGGUGGGGUAAUGGCUCACCUAGGCGACGAUCCCUAGCUGGGCUGAGAGGAUGACCAGCAACACGGGAACUGAGACACGGUCCAGACUCCUACGGGAGGAAGCAGUGGGGAAUAUUGCACAAGGGGCGCAAGCCUGAUGCAGCCAGGCCGCGUGUAUGAAGAAGGCCUUCGGGUUGUAAAGUACUUUCAGCGAGGAGGCGGUACUCGAAGAAGAAGCACCGGCUAACUCCGUGCCAGCCGCCGCGGUAAUUC